Triticum dicoccoides is the source of this 1720-nucleotide long non-coding RNA. RefSeq lists it as uncharacterized. The record is from RefSeq and is a predicted model, not a curated record. NCBI's taxonomy places the organism in Eukaryota, Viridiplantae, Streptophyta, Magnoliopsida, Poales, Poaceae. The transcript is spliced from 10 exons.
UAUAACCACAUUUACGUGCAAUAUGCAACAACUGUUUUCUUUGCUUCAGUAUUUUUGUGUCUCUGGCAAAGUUAAUCAUCAUAUUCAUGUCAUUUAUUUAGGAGGGAUCCCAAUUACUGACUGCAUCAGGCGACCAAUCUGUAAAGAUAUGGAGCAUGGAGAAUAAGAAAUGCCUUGGUGUGCUGUCAGGGCACACUAGAAGUGUGAAGUCACUGACAUGCCAUUCUUCAAAUCCUGAUCUUAUUAUUUCUGGUUCAAGAGACGGUUCUUUUGCACUUUGGGAUCUAAGAUGUGACCCCCAAACCCCAAAUGGUCAUGGUGAAGCAUGACUCAUGUGUCGAAUUGUUGAUGGAGGCUUCAGGUCGUCCUUCUCAAGGAGAUAAGGCUGGCCAUUAAGGAUCUGGGGUGAAGGUCAUGUCAUCUCUUCUCGUGGCUCUACUGCCCACUGCUUCCACUGCUGAUAUUUUGAGCUCUUUGAUCAGAGCAAGCACCAUGGGAAGGAAAGAUGUUGGGGGCGUGAACUGUCCCGACAACGACACUGUUGCCUGCUGACUAUGUGCAGGACUACCUGGCUCGACCUCUAUCUCAAUGAAAAUUAGGAACCUGAAGGGAAAAUGGAAGGCGCCUUUGAUGGACAUUCAGCCCGGAGUACAAGGAUGAUCCCUACAUCUAUACUUUUGAUAUGCUGAAGCACAUUGGCAUUGAGCCAAGGCAGCGUGUUGUGUUUGUACUUCAAGCUGGCAGAGUACAGAUCACUUUCAUGGUCCAAAUUACUAGCAUCAAUCGAAUCAUGGACACAAGAUUUCAGUACCCUGUAAUAAUCUCUUAGGUGACUUUUGGACAAGUACACGCCCAGAUUUUUGGGAUUAAUAACACCGGGCACCAGACUCUAAACAUGGGUCAAGCUGGAGCGACUCAAGAUGCAGCUUGAAUUCUGGUACACUAUAUGAGUGAUUCAAAUUUGCUCAAGGUUAACAAUAGCUUGCAUGGAGCCAACCGGAGGAAGGACUCUUGAUGCUAAAGUUUACAAUCCUCCCAACAACCAGUUCUUGCCACGGACACUGAAUGUUGUGACGUCAAUUUGGGAGCCACGGGAUGGAUCCCUUUCAGAGCGAUCUAGACGCCCUCGAUGCCUCGACAACUUCACGGGCGUCUGAAGUGUAAACUGACAUCAUACUUAUAACUAGUCAGUUUAGCGAUAAACCCUACAUUUUAGUUUUUUGCUAGGUGUCCUAUAUGCACUUUUAAUUUUUUAUAGGUGUGGAUAACUUCUUGAAAGCUAAAUCAGCCCAUAUUGUAUGUGAUUUUCCGUGAGGCAGACUAAAUUGGCAUCUUGAGGAUUCAUGCUUCAUGUAUCAUACAAGUGAUCCAUUCAUAGCUUCAUCUGUUGCGCUCUUACAUAUUGUAUUCUGCUAUAGAGUAUAAAUAGUACUCUUCCUUGGAGUUGAAUCCAUGUAUCAUGAUUUUUGGUCGAUACAGUCCUAUAGUUCCCCACAAGAAAAGGACUUUGGUUGUGGCUAACUGGGUUCUCUCUGCCUCUCACAAGUUUUGUUUAUUACUAUACUACUAUUAUUUAGUUAGAUAACUUGGACUGUCUAAUAGGAGUUCUUACUCACUGCUAGAGAUGCUAACUGAUUCUCUCCGGCUCUCACAAGUUUGUCCUUGUGUUAUCUCUUAUUCAGGGUAAAAAUAAUGCCCAGAACAAAGAAACUAUGUAUUG